RNAcentral lists this unclassified non-coding RNA (313 nucleotides) under plant metagenome. RNAcentral describes it as "partial contains 5.8S ribosomal RNA, internal transcribed spacer 2, and large subunit ribosomal RNA". The stretch from base 1 to 104 matches the Rfam family "5.8S ribosomal RNA", at positions 51 to 154 of the family's 154-position model. The record is from RNAcentral.
AAAUGCGAUAAGUAAUGUGAAUUGCAGAAUUCAGUGAAUCAUCGAAUCUUUGAACGCACAUUGCGCCUAUUAGUAUUCUAGUAGGCAUGCCUGUUCGAGCGUCAUUUCAACCCUCAAGCCCUGGUUGUGUGUUGGGUCGUCGUCCCCCCCGGGGGACGGACCCGAAAGGCAGCGGCGGCACCGUGUCCGGUCCUCGAGCGUAUGGGGCUUUGUCACCCGCUCGAUUAGGACCGGCCGGGCGCCCGCCGGCGUCAAACCCCAAUCUUUCUAAGGUUGACCUCGGAUCAGGUAGGGAUACCCGCUGAACUUAAGC